AAGUCGUAACAAGGUUUCCGUAGGUGAACCUGCGGAAGGAUCAUUAAUGAGAAGCGGCCCCGCGGCCGUGGGGGCUUCGGCCCCCGACUCACACCCUUUGUUUAUCCACUCUUGUUGCUUUGGCGGGCCUUGGGGUCAUAUCCAUGCCGGGAGAAAGUCCUCCUCCGGGGGGGCCCUCCAGGCGCGUGCCCGUCAAAGGCCCAUUUUAAUUCUGCUUCAAGCAUGUCGUCUGAGUAAAAACACAAUAAACAAAA
This 254-nucleotide unclassified non-coding RNA is filed under the name plant metagenome. RNAcentral's name for it is "partial contains small subunit ribosomal RNA and internal transcribed spacer 1". The stretch from base 1 to 46 matches the Rfam family "Eukaryotic small subunit ribosomal RNA", at positions 1786 to 1831 of the family's 1831-position model. The record is from RNAcentral.